AUAUUGGGUUAAAAUCCCGGCUCGUGGAGCUGCCCGAGAGCUGUUCUCGCGAGAUUACGGCAGGAGGCUCCGGGUCGCUGGCGCUGGAGCUGUGAGCACUGGAGACUGAGCGGGCGCUGCAGCUGGAGCGAGCGGCCGGCGGCGUAGCUCCCAGAUAGCCCUGAGGCGCAGCGGGUGCAGGGGGAGCGCGGCGGGCGCAGCCUCGAGUCCCUGAGCGCCCUCCUUCUCUGCGCCGGACUUGCUCCCGACCUGCAGCGCGUCCCGCCGCCACAGCUGACAGGGGCCGCGCGGGGGAGUCUGCGGGGUCGCGGCAGCCACACCUGCGCGGGCGGCCAGCGCGGGGUUCCCGCCGCUCGGGCGUGCACAGAGGACCAGGGAGCGGGUGCAGGUGCGGGUGCAGGCAGGGGCCCCGCAGGGCCACCGCCUCGACCCGCGGCCGCCGCUGGAAAAUGUCUCAGGAGAGGCCCAAGUUCUACCGGCAGGAGCUGAACAAGACGAUCUGGGAGGUGCCCGAGCGUUACCAGAACCUGUCCCCGGUGGGCUCCGGCGCCUAUGGCUCCGUAUGUGCUGCCUUUGACACAAAAACUGGGUUGCGUGUGGCAGUGAAGAAGCUGUCCAGACCGUUUCAGUCCAUCAUUCACGCCAAAAGGACCUACCAAGAGCUUCGGUUGCUGAAACACAUGAAGCAUGAGAAUGUGAUUGGACUGUUGGACGUCUUCACACCUGCAAGGUCCCUGGAGGAAUUCAAUGACGUGUAUCUGGUGACCCAUCUCAUGGGGGCAGAUCUGAAUAACAUCGUGAAAUGUCAGAAGCUUACGGACGACCAUGUUCAGUUCCUCAUCUACCAGAUUCUUCGAGGUCUAAAGUAUAUACAUUCAGCUGACAUAAUCCACAGGGACCUCAAACCAAGUAACCUAGCUGUGAAUGAAGACUGUGAGCUGAAGAUUCUGGAUUUUGGACUAGCUCGACAUACAGAUGACGAAAUGACAGGCUACGUGGCCACCAGGUGGUACAGGGCUCCCGAGAUCAUGCUGAACUGGAUGCAUUACAACCAGACAGUGGACAUCUGGUCAGUGGGAUGCAUAAUGGCCGAGCUGUUGACCGGAAGGACGUUGUUUCCUGGUACAGACCAUAUUGAUCAGUUGAAGCUCAUUUUAAGACUCGUUGGAACCCCAGGGGCUGAGCUUUUGAAGAAAAUCUCCUCAGAGUCUGCAAGAAACUAUAUUCAGUCAUUGACCCAGAUGCCGAAGAUGAACUUUGCAAACGUAUUUAUUGGUGCCAAUCCCCUGGCUGUUGACCUGCUGGAGAAGAUGCUUGUGUUGGAUUCGGAUAAGAGAAUCACAGCGGCCCAAGCCCUGGCACACGCCUACUUUGCUCAGUACCACGAUCCCGAUGAUGAGCCAGUGGCUGAUCCCUACGAUCAAUCCUUUGAAAGCAGGGACCUCCUCAUAGAUGAAUGGAAAAAUGACGACUCUCUGGACCUUUGAGAUGCUUAUGUGUGGUCUGAUUUUGUGCACAGCCCUUCACAUCCGCUAGAGCUUUCAGGCCUGACCUACGAUGAAGUCAUCAGCUUUGUGCCACCACCCCUUGACCAAGAAGAGAUGGAGUCCUGAGCGCCUGGUCUGUGUCCUGUCGAGCCCACCUCACUGUGAGGGGAAGGCCUUUUCAUGGGAACUCUCCAAAUCUCAUUCAAGUGCCUCUUGUUGCAAAGAUUUCCUCCAUGGUGGAAGGGGUGCGUGUGUGUGCACGCGCAGCAUGCGUGUGUGUGUGUGUGUGUGUGUGUGCAUGUGCAUGUCUGUCUUCGUGGAAGGAUAGGAGCAUACCGAGAGCAGUUGUGAUCCCAGUGACAUUACAUGGCGUUACGGAUGCUCACAGCAGCCUCUCCUGACUCGGGCAGACAAGAGCUGCCAUCUUGUUAGGAAUGUGUCACAUGCGAAGGAAAAUCUCUCAAAGGCCCCCACCCCAGUUACGCUUUUGCCGCUCAGGCCUCUCCCGGGGGCCUGUACCUGGGAUUCUGUCCCCUGUGAAGGAAAGCCUCGUUGCCUUUCUGGUGUUGGCUGCACACCACAGUGCACAGUGAGGGCGCCCACUUUCCGGCCACUUCAGGUCUGCAGAGGUUCCCCCAGCCAUGUGUUCAGCCGAGAGGACCAGCCGGCUUCUGUGCUCGAGCCAGUGAUGGACUUGCUCAGUGUGGUUCUCAGAACUUGACGGAUGUUUGAAAUAUCCUGUAAAUAUGUCUGUGCCUUAAGAGGAGAGAAGUCAGUGUAGCCAGCUCCAAGACUGCAGCUGCUGAGCACUGAGCCAGGCAAGUAGCAGGGCCAUUGGGUGGCCACUGUGAGCCAGAAGUCGCUGAGCCGGAAGUCACCCGACAGCCUUUAGAGGUGGCCAUGUCUGCGCAUGCGUGGAUGUGCAUCCUUUGCCAACUGUUGCCGCGGAGGGCUCCUGAGUAUUGCCCUUGGAAUGCACGUACACGCACAGGCUCCUGCUGUCAGUGUGCACUCCCUGCGCUGUCUACUCCUACACCGUGAGGCUGUGUGCUGCACGCCUUUCUGUUUGACCACGCGCAGCUGCCGUCCUUUUCUCCCCAGGGUCCCCUAGGUUAAGCGAGCCUGCCUGGGAGGGUUUCUCCAGUCGAUCCAGCCCCAUGUCACCUCAGCUGGUGCUGGGGGGAAGGGAACUCUGCCUCUCCAGCCCCUGCACUGUUGUCGAACACAUUUGAUGUUCCAGGUGCUGUUGAUGUGAAAAAGGAGGGCUGCCUAGAUGGGUGGCGUUUUCAUUCUUGUCAUUGAAUUUUUCAGCAAACUUUCUGGGGAGCUAUCAUGAAGAUCGGGGCUUUGCCCAGAGAGAUUCCAAACUCUGGGAAGUAAGGUGUUAUCCUCACUCCCAGUGCUAAGAAAUGAUGAAAAUUAAAGUGGAAAAGUAAAAGCUUGUGAGGUCAGAAGUUCCUUUUGCUAUCUUCCUCGGAAUAAGGGUUUUUUGAGAAAGUCGCAGCGUGUCUUUUCCACUUCUCCAUGUCUUGUCCACCCCUCUAUGGAAAGGGUCUUCUUGGCAGCUUAACAUUGAUUUUUGGUUUUUUGAUCUUGGUUUGGGAAGAAAAAAAAUUUUCUACGUCACAGGUAUGUUUUGACUGUGUGAUUCCUUUUGACAAGAAGAAAAGGCAAAUUUACUAUUUUGUAUGUUCACCUUUGUAAAAAUGAAAUGUGCUCGGGUGGAGAAGAAUUGCUUUCAUGACUUUCUGAACUUCAUGCAUUUUGUGCUACAUGAGGGCUCAUAUAUUUAAAUUUUUGUGUUAAUAAAAAAGUGCAAAGCCAAUGCCAGAGCUGGCUGUGUGACAGAUCGUAUACUUAGGCCAAGGCAUCACCAUUCUCUAUUGUGCGCUCCAGAGGGACAGGGUUAGGACCUGAGCCCGAAGGCUGAGGGUACACCCCCUCACCUGGGACCCUGUCCCUUGAGGGACAGCAGCCGUGAUCCUCCCCAGACUCGGCCAGGUGACGUCAGCAGCCAUGCGCAGCGUGAGUGCUGGUGUGACUGCCUGUCGGGAUCCCGACCUGAAUGUCCUUCUAGAAAGGUCUCUGCACAUGGCCAAGGACACAGUAGGAAGUCGUUGGCCCUGGGAGCCUGGACUCUGAGCUGGAGCCAAGGAAGAGCGCCUUGGAUUCCGAGCAGGAGCUCCUUUCUCCUGAUUCUCUGAUAGGGAAUGACAGGGGCGGCGGGAAACUGAUAUUUUAUUUGUAUUAAUGAACCAGGCUGUAAUCAGUUACGCCAUAUAGGAUGUCAGACAAUACCACUGUUUAAAAUAAAGCCUAUUUUUCAAAUUCAGUGAGUCCCUCAAAUUUGUUAUUUUUUUUUCUUGAUUGUUUUAAUUUAACCCACAAUAUGGCACUGUAUCAGUAUUUUCCAACUGUGACCUGGCAAAUUCUACUAUUCCUAAAAUUUAGAAAACAUGUAUAGAGCUUUUAGCUAUGUGUUUUUGGUGAGUACAGUCUGGGCCUUUGAAGCAGCUGAGUAAAGCAGAAAACAGACAAGCCAGGUAUUAAGAAGCAGGGUUCCUACACUUGGCUAUGAGCGGGGCCCAGGCAGGGUUAGACAUGGCCCACCACCUGUCUUUGUGGAGCCUGCUGAAAAAGAAUUUUUACAUUUUUCAAUGGUUGAAAGAUUGAAAAGGAAGAGUAUUUUUUGUAGCAUGUGAAAAAUAAUGUAACAUUAAAAUCUUAGUGUCCAUCAAUAAAGUUUUAUUAGAACUUAAUUA
Molecule: RNA transcript, 4249 nt
Organism: Octodon degus (degu)
Lineage: Eukaryota; Metazoa; Chordata; Mammalia; Rodentia; Octodontidae
Gene: Mapk14
Gene name: mitogen-activated protein kinase 14
Exons: 13
Source: RefSeq, a predicted model, not a curated record